UCUCAGUUCGGAUUGGAGUCUGCAACCCGACUCCAUGAAGCUGGAUUCGCUAGUAAUCGCGCAUCAGCCACGGCGCGGUGAAUACGUUCCCGGGCUUGUACACACCGCCCGUCAAGCCAUGAAAGCCGGGGGUACCUGAAGUGCGUAACCGCAAGGAGCGCCCUAGGGUAAAACUGGUGAUUGGGGCUAAGUCGUAACAAGGUAUC
Molecule: ribosomal RNA, 206 nt
Filed under: uncultured bacterium
Lineage: Bacteria
Description: partial 16S ribosomal RNA
Rfam family: Bacterial small subunit ribosomal RNA
Source: RNAcentral